GAUGAACGCUGGCGGCGUGCCUAAUACAUGCAAGUCGAGCGAACAGAUAAGGAGCUUGCUCCUUUGAAGUUAGCGGCGGACGGGUGAGUAACACGUGGGUAACCUACCUAUAAGACUGGGAUAACUUCGGGAAACCGGAGCUAAUACCGGAUAACAUUUAGAACCGCAUGGUUCUAUAGUGAAAGAUGGUUUUGCUAUCACUUAUAGAUGGAUCCGCGCCGUAUUAGCUAGUUGGUAAGGUAACGGCUUACCAAGGCGACGAUGCGUAGCCGACCUGAGAGGGUGAUCGGCCACACUGGAACUGAGACACGGUCCAGACUCCUACGGGAGGCAGCAGUAGGGAAUCUUCCGCAAUGGGCGAAAGCCUGACGGAGCAACGCCGCGUGAGUGAUGAAGGGUUUCGGCUCGUAAAACUCUGUUAUUAGGGAAGAACAAAUGUGUAAGUAACUGUGCACAUCUUGACGGUACCUAAUCAGAAAGCCACGGCUAACUACGUG
Molecule: ribosomal RNA, 497 nt
Filed under: uncultured bacterium
Lineage: Bacteria
Description: partial 16S ribosomal RNA
Rfam family: Bacterial small subunit ribosomal RNA
Source: RNAcentral